ACCCUAGAUCAAGAGGAGAGGCUCUCCAGAUUUGCUGACCUAGAAGGAUAAGUCUGAAAGUAGGAGGGUGGGGAGAGCCAGAUGAACAAGGGAGGUGAAAACGUGAUCUAGGGAGGCAUCCGAGUGAGCAAAGGCACGAGUGAGCCUGGUACACUUCUGGGCAGGCAGAAGGAAGGCAGUUAGGCUGUUAGGAAGGCAGUUAGGCUGCAGUGAAUUCUACAAAGAGGCUAUGGGAAAGAAACCUGGAAAGGUAGGGAGGUAUGGAUAUGGACAAGCUAUGCCAAGGAGCAGGGCUUUGUCAUGGAGAGUGACUAGGUGCUUUUACAUAGGAAAGUCACCUGAUAAUAUUAAAACCUGUGAAAUAUCACUCUGGUGGAAGUGUGAAUGAAUUUGAAAGGGGUGUAACACUGUUCUACUUUGUUUACUCCUCAGUACCCUUGGCUGUGUACAUUUGAGUAAAGAGAGCACUAUAAAAUCAAAAACCAAUGAAAUGGUUUCCAGAACACAGAACUAUUAAGCUUAAGAAAAGGACAGAAGGAACUGAAGAGAGAGGAACUGUUUUGGAGCAUCACACUUCCACCUCAGAAGAAAUAAGGAAGGAAGGAGGAGGGUGUUCCCACGGCUCUUCAACCAGGCCGGCUCUUCAGCCUACAUCCCCAUCUCAUCAAGUAAAAGGGAUUUUUCAACUGGACCAACCAGAUGGUUUAACAGUGCACUCCCACACCAUUCAACUACGCAAGGGAGAUACACUUAACAUAUGCAGUCGUAUAACACCUACUAACAUUUUCAAACAUUAAACCUUUAAAAAAGAGUUCUAAAGAAAUAGAAGCUUGAAGUAUCAUCUCUCAAGUAUAUAGACACUACUUCAUGGUGUGGUAAUAUAUGCAUAUAGAAGCUAGUAAACACCUCCAGGAGAUGCAAAAGGAAUUAGAACUGCCACAAGGUGCAAGCAAAACCUUGAGUUCUGUUUUUCCUCUUCUAAUCCUUCACCCAUCUGAGCUAAAGUCUAGACCUAAGGAGGCUACUAAUUCAGGGAUCGAGUAAUCUGCCAAGCAAGAGUUUAUUCAAGCACAGUUUGAAAUAAAGGUUUCAAAUGCAUAGCCUGUCGAUACUUUGGAAGGAUUCUCAUCAUAACGAGAUAUGGGAGGACACCUGAGACGGCAGGCCAGAAGUCACUCAGUAGGAGAAACAUCCGUUAGAAGUAAUAAUGUGGGAUUGCUGAAGUAAAGACUAUAGGAAGAAAAAAGUGUCUGUGUGUAGGAAACGGAAAGGGAGAGAAAAAUACACUGAGAUGGUAAAGUAAGGAAGUGGAAGAUCAGCAGAAUGUGCAGAUGCCAAGCCAUCCAAGAAAAUCAUCUCUUGUGAUUGUUGCGAAGUCAACUAGCUAAUGUGACUCACUGCUAGGCUGUUGGAUCUGAGACUUAUGUGGGAUAAUUUAGAAACUUGCUAGUGUCUUAAGAUCAAUUACUCACCAAUGAGAGUGGCAUUGAACUGUGAAUGUUCCUCCUAGAUUUUCCAUGAAGACUAAUGGUUUUGUCUUGUCUUGAAUUUGUUUUAAUUACAAUUUGUAUACAUCCUGUUCCACCCUGAAAUUUUUAUUUUCCAAAUGGUUUUUCAUUUAAAGAGACUAAAUAAAGGUUCUGACUGAGUUGUACUUGUGGGAACUCCAAAAUCUUUUUAUAGGAAGCUAUUUUCAUCAAAUAGUGUUGAGAAUCAAGUUUCCAGUUGGAGAAAAUAACAGAGACAUGCAAAUUCAGGAUGUAGCUGUACAGCAAUGUUAGUGAAGAGAGAAAAUUUUGAGUCAUUUAGACAUUAACCAUUAAGCAUCUGGAUUUUUUUAAAUGUUAAGACAGAAAAAAAUACCUGUAUGUCAACCAAAAUUUUAUUUAAUUUAGUGAACUGUGAUAGGGACUCCUCUCUGCUCAUCCAAAUCCAGGUUUUC
Molecule: long non-coding RNA, 1942 nt
Filed under: Homo sapiens (human)
Lineage: Eukaryota; Metazoa; Chordata; Mammalia; Primates; Hominidae
Description: HSALNT0375054
Source: RNAcentral